AAGACUAUAGACCUGCGGAGUACCUGCGGAAGGAUCAUUACAGAGUUACUACUCCAAACCCAUUGUGAACCUUACCUAUGUUCUGUUGCCUCGGCGGCGUGGUCAGCGCCCCUCUGAAAAGAGGACGAUGCCCUCCCGCCGGCAGCACCAAACUCUUUGAAUUUUACAGCGGAUUACAGUUCUGAUUUGAAAACAAAAAACAAGUUAAAACUUUCAACAAUGGAUCUCUAGAUCGGAAGA
This 240-nucleotide unclassified non-coding RNA is filed under the name soil metagenome. RNAcentral describes it as "partial contains 5.8S ribosomal RNA, internal transcribed spacer 2, and large subunit ribosomal RNA". The record is from RNAcentral.